RNAcentral lists this ribosomal RNA (694 nucleotides) under Salmonella enterica subsp. enterica serovar Muenchen. Its description in RNAcentral is "partial 23S ribosomal RNA". It matches the Rfam family "Bacterial large subunit ribosomal RNA", at positions 1084 to 1693 of the family's 2925-position model. The record is from RNAcentral. Lineage: Bacteria; Pseudomonadati; Pseudomonadota; Gammaproteobacteria; Enterobacterales; Enterobacteriaceae.
CCCAGACAGCCAGGAUGUUGGCUUAGAAGCAGCCAUCAUUUAAAGAAAGCGUAAUAGCUCACUGGUCGAGUCGGCCUGCGCGGAAGAUGUAACGGGGCUAAACCAUGCACCGAAGCUGCGGCAGCGAACGUAUCACCCAAGACAACUUUACGGAGUUGACGAUUGACGGAGCGAAGCGACGUCAAAGCGUUCAUUAAAGUCGAGUUGGCUUAGGGAUACGUUCGUUGGGUAGGGGAGCGUUCUGUAAGCCUGUGAAGGUGGCCUGUGAGGGUUGCUGGAGGUAUCAGAAGUGCGAAUGCUGACAUAAGUAACGAUAAAGCGGGUGAAAAGCCCGCUCGCCGGAAGACCAAGGGUUCCUGUCCAACGUUAAUCGGGGCAGGGUGAGUCGACCCCUAAGGCGAGGCCGAAAGGCGUAGUCGAUGGGAAACGGGUUAAUAUUCCCGUACUUGGUGUUACUGCGAAGGGGGGACGGAGAAGGCUAUGUUGGCCGGGCGACGGUUGUCCCGGUUUAAGCGUGUAGGUGUGUGUUCCAGGUAAAUCCGGUUCACUUUAACACUGAGGCGUGAUGACGAGGCACUACGGUGCUGAAGCAACAAAUGCCCUGCUUCCAGGAAAAGCCUCUAAGCAUCAGGUAACAUCAAAUCGUACCCCAAACCGACACAGGUGGUCAGGUAGAGAAUACCAAGGCGCUUGA